AAGUCGUAACAAGGUUUCCGUAGGUGAACCUGCGGAAGGAUCAUUAAAAAAAAUGAGGUAUUUUAUACCUCUUGUAUUUAAAACCCAACUCAAAAAAUAUAAUUUUUUUUUAAAAAAAAAAAACUUUCAACAAUGGAUCUCUUGGCUCUC
RNAcentral lists this unclassified non-coding RNA (150 nucleotides) under Gigaspora sp. Its description in RNAcentral is "partial internal transcribed spacer region". The stretch from base 1 to 46 matches the Rfam family "Eukaryotic small subunit ribosomal RNA", at positions 1786 to 1831 of the family's 1831-position model. Lineage: Eukaryota; Fungi; Glomeromycota; Glomeromycetes; Diversisporales; Gigasporaceae. The record is from RNAcentral.